This 1136-nucleotide long non-coding RNA is filed under the name Polistes fuscatus (common paper wasp). RNAcentral describes it as "uncharacterized LOC122517407, transcript variant X2". The record is from RNAcentral. Lineage: Eukaryota; Metazoa; Arthropoda; Insecta; Hymenoptera; Vespidae.
GGGUGGAGAGGGUUGGAGAGGGAUGAAAGGGGUGGAAAGGGGGUGGAGAAGGAUCGAGAAAUAGGGUGUAAAGCUUAGACAUCUCAACCGCGAGACCGAUGAUUACCAAGCGUGGAGAGUGUGGGUUAGGGGAAAAAAGAGAAAGAUAAAAAGAUAAAGAGAGAAAGAAGAGAGAGAAUUUAGAUAAGGUCGACUAAGCACUAAUCGAACGAGCUCGCAAGUCUCUUUUAUCAUAAGCGUUAAUAAUUCGCUUAGUAAUUUACUGAACGAAGCGAAUAAGAGUCGCGAUGAGUUUCACAUGAAUUAACAAACGGUCCUCGACAAGAAUAGAGAGAGAGUGAAGCUAGUUAGAAAUAGGCAAGGCAGGCAGGCAGGCAGGCAACUAUACCAUGGAAGACAGUCAACAGGCAACUAGCAACAAGAUAGACAAUAGUUUCUAUGAUAGCAGAGAACAGGUAAUAUAUGUAUGGCCAGGUAGUAGACAAUCUGAUAGACAAAACGCAAACAAACACGUGCUGACUAAAAGCAAUUGCUGUUAUAUAUCUUAUCCCAUUUCCAUUGCAAUCAAGUACUACCUAGUAUUAUCCAGCAGCUUGCUAAACACGUAAUACCACUAUCUCAAACUUUCUACAUGUGCGAUGUAACUCGUCUAUGAAGCAAGAAAGAAUUUUAAAAAAUGUAGGAAAAAGUUAAGUUAAAGAUAAAAAAGAAAAAAAAAUAAGAAGAAAAGAAAAUUCUUAUUCAUUCCACUAGAAAUAAUUAAAACUAAUAUCCCCGAGAAACUUACGGGACGAAACUCGAAAUAACACGCUUUACCUCGAUGAAAUUGAUUAUUUUAUCGAUUACGAGAAAAAGAUUUAAUUACGACGCAGAUACUUCUCGAUUUACCUCUGUUCUUUUGAUGUACCUCCAUCGCCGAAGGAUAAAUUUCGAGAGAAGAGUUUCCCAUUUUCAAAUGAUAAAACAUUUUAUAAUUAUACUUUCUAUACACAUGCACAUCUAACUUACACAUCUAUAAUUUUCUAUCUUUUCAAUUCCCUUCAAAACUUUGUCUCUAAUUUCUCUUGAAAAACCCCUCGAAACAAUGUUUAUCUUUAUUUUCAACAUUUAUUAAUAAAUCUUUUUACUUUUCACGA